Molecule: ribosomal RNA, 399 nt
Filed under: uncultured haloarchaeon
Lineage: Archaea; Methanobacteriati; Methanobacteriota; Halobacteria; Halobacteriales; Halobacteriaceae
Description: bacterial SSU rRNA
Rfam family: Archaeal small subunit ribosomal RNA
Source: RNAcentral
CUUCCCACAAGGAAGGACGCUUUUUUGCACUGUAAGGAGGUGCAGGAACAAGGGGUGGGCAAGACUGCUGCCAGCCGCCGCGGUAAUAGCAGCACCCCGAGUGGUAGUCGUUAUUAUUGGGCUAAAGUGUAUGUAGCCGGACCUGUAAGUCUGUUGUGAAAUCCACGCGCUCAACGCAGUGGAAGCGCAACGGAUACUACAGGUCUAGGGACCGGAGGACGCCGAGGCUAUUCCAUGGGUAGGAGUGAAAUCCUAAGAUCCAUGGAGGAGCACCAGUGGCGAAAGCGCUCGGCGAGUACGGAUCCGACGGUGAGGUACGAAAGCCAGGGGAGCAAAGCGGAUCAGAUACCCGUGUAGUCCUGGCCGUCAACAUGUCCGCUAGACAUGGCCCAACCCUUG